This 264-nucleotide unclassified non-coding RNA is filed under the name Allomyces arbusculus. Its description in RNAcentral is "partial internal transcribed spacer region". The stretch from base 1 to 46 matches the Rfam family "Eukaryotic small subunit ribosomal RNA", at positions 1786 to 1831 of the family's 1831-position model. Lineage: Eukaryota; Fungi; Blastocladiomycota; Blastocladiomycetes; Blastocladiales; Blastocladiaceae. The record is from RNAcentral.
AAGUCGUAACAAGGUUUCCGUAGGUGAACCUGCGGAAGGAUCAUUAUUAAUUCUUCUAGUUAAGCGGCUGCGCGUUUUUUUUUUAAAAGAACCGCAGCUGUUUUUCUUGUGAACUGGGGCCUGCUUUUGAAGUUUAAACGCUUUUCUGGCAGGCCUGUCGUUAAUGCUCUUGUGUUAAAUUUUUUUGUUUUUGCUUUUUUUAAGCCUAACCGCUUAAGAAAAAUAAUUACAAGACAACUUUCAGCAAUGGAUCUCUUGGCUCUU